UUUUCUCAGCCGUGGCUGAGCGGAGUCAAGGUAGUUUCAGAUUUAGGGUUCCUGUGAAGGAGAUGACUGAUGUUUUGGGCUUGCGGGUCUUGGACAAAUUAGGCUCACGUGAUUUUUAAACUAAGUAACCCUCCGGUACUUUUUUAAAAAGGCUCUUUCUAUUUACACCUCCAUUGCCCAAAGUACACCUCAUAUCCCUUUUCUACUCCUUUAUUACCCAUUAUACACUUAUUUUGAAAAUGUAUUUCUAAAACUAAUGUACUUAAAAAAUGGCGUGUAAAUAGAAAAAGCCUUUAUAAUGUAAUAAAGAUUCAAAUUGAUUUUUUUUUUAUUAUGUACUAAAACUCGGGUGAAUAUUUAAACUUCAAAGUCAUAUGUGACUUCGGCUUUCUUAUUUUAAAGGUAAAAUUGUACUUUUGGUCCCCCACUUUAGGUCAAAUUUUGUAUUUGGUCCCCCACUAAUUUAAUUCACAAAUUGGGUCUCCCUGUUUUAUAAAAUCCUGCAAGUCCUGGACGCUCAAUUAGACGUUGACCGUUAAGCUUAGACGUUGACUGCCACGUGCCAACGUUUGAGAAGCACUUGAAAUUGGUUGCAUUUUUUUUACCCAUUAGUGGUAAAUUGAUUUUUUUUUACGCUAAAAUACAACCUUAACUUUACUAUCAGCAUUCAACAGGUGUAUCAUAUGUGCAACAUGUCCAACAAAAGAACAAUAAGUCUACAAUUAAAUCCAACCAGCUCUGAAAUUCUCCAACAAGAAAAGAAACCAACGUGUAGCUUCCAUAGAAAGGGAUCUUCGUUUUAGUAGCAUUUUGCUUCAACUAAUCAAAAGCACCAGCUCUGAAUGUAUCCGCACACACCAGAGCAGGCUUCCACCCUUUCUUCUGAUGAUAAAACACGUAUUUUGUACACGUCGUCGUUUUACCAGAUCCUAAAACACACAAAACACAAGCAUUCAAUCAUCAUUCCAUUUUAGGCAUUGAUUUUGGUUUUCAGGGAAGAGAGACUUUUAUUUUUCUCAUCCCCUCUCACUCUCACUCAAGCCCCUCGUCGAUGUCGAGGAAAUUAUCAACGGCGGGUAAGGCUUUCUCUUUCUCCACGAUUUUGUCUGUGAUGAGAAUUAGGGUUGGGUGUUGAUUUUGGUUUUCAGGGAAGAGAGAUAGGGCUUCGAGGACGAGGUGGCAUGAGGCGCAGUCGACGAAGACUAGCGCGGAUUUCACAUGACGGAGGAUGACGGAGACGGUGCGGGCGUAGAGGCGGGUGUUGAUGUUGUUGAGAAUUGCGCCGGCGAAGUGGAGCUCGUACAUGACGGGGACGUUCAGGGCCAGGACGAAGACAACACUGCCACGACGGAUGCCGAGGGAGGAGAAGGCGAAGGUCAGCUGAAGGCAUCAAUGGCACGUGAAGGUGGUGUCAUUGUAGGUCAACAUCCAAUUGAGGCUUUAGGGACUGACAUUGUAGAAUUUUAUAAAACAGGGGGACCCAAUUUGUGAAUUAAAUUAGUGGGGGACCAAAUGCGAAAUUAGACCUAAAGUGGGAGACCAAAAUGCAAUUUUGCCUAUUUUAAAUGACAAAUGACCUAUUUGGUUUUUUUUUUCAAUUUUAUCUUUUUGAAAGUUAAUUUUAGUUUUUUAUGUUUAAAAAAAUAUCAAAAUAGUUUUUUUGUCAAUCUAAAGUUAACGUUGUUAAUGAAAAAAGAUAUUGAUGCUCAAAAGCCGCCACAAGAUGUAAGUUUUUUAUUUCUUCAUCUUUUCACUUCUCUUGCUCUCAUCCUUUCCUUUCUUCUUCUUCGCUAACAACAAUGGCAUCUUCAUCACCGACGAAAGCAACA
RNAcentral lists this long non-coding RNA (1829 nucleotides) under Glycine max (soybean). Its description in RNAcentral is "long non-coding RNA (GMAX_LNC000227)". The record is from RNAcentral. Lineage: Eukaryota; Viridiplantae; Streptophyta; Magnoliopsida; Fabales; Fabaceae.